AUGUGUGGAAUGGGAUUCCGUGAUCUCCAUGCUUUUAAUCUUGUCAGGCUAGCAAAACAAAGUUGGAGAUGAAUCUAAAAUCCUGAGACUUUGUGCGCUCAUGUCCUUCGAGCAAAAUGCUUUUUGGAUGGGAACUUAUUGAAAGAGGGAAUAAAGAAAGGUUUUUCUUUCACUUGGCAGAGCAUUGUGGUUGUUCACAAACGUUUUGAAUGUACGUGCACAUAUUUGGAGAGUGGGCUCAGGAAAUAA
RNAcentral lists this ribosomal RNA (249 nucleotides) under Triticum aestivum (bread wheat). RNAcentral describes it as "partial small subunit ribosomal RNA". The record is from RNAcentral. Lineage: Eukaryota; Viridiplantae; Streptophyta; Magnoliopsida; Poales; Poaceae.